RNAcentral lists this non-coding RNA (29 nucleotides) under Mus musculus (house mouse). The record is from RNAcentral. Lineage: Eukaryota; Metazoa; Chordata; Mammalia; Rodentia; Muridae.
UCAAUUGGUAAGGUGCUUGCCCAGCGUGU